Molecule: ribosomal RNA, 363 nt
Filed under: Negayan excepta
Lineage: Eukaryota; Metazoa; Arthropoda; Arachnida; Araneae; Anyphaenidae
Description: partial 16S ribosomal RNA
Source: RNAcentral
UUGUGCUAAGGUAGCAUAAUCAUUUGUCUUCUAAUUAAAGACUAGAACAAAAGAUUAAACAUUUUAAUUAAUAUAUUUUAAUUAAUAAAUUUAACUUUUUUUAAAUGUAAAAAAACAUUUAUAAAUAAGGAAGACGAUAAGACCCUAUUAAACUUAACUUUAGUUUAACUGGGGCAGUUAAUUAAUUAUUAUUUUAAUAAUAUUAUAAAUAUAAUAGAUCCUAUAAAAUAGAUUAAAUAAUCAAGUUACUAUAGGGAUAACAGCGUAAUAUUAAUUUAAAGAUCUUAUUAAAAUAAAAGAUUACGACCUCGAUGUUGAAUUAAUAACCUAUAUAGUUGCAAUUGCAAUAAACAAUUAUAGGAA